RNAcentral lists this non-coding RNA (31 nucleotides) under Homo sapiens (human). Lineage: Eukaryota; Metazoa; Chordata; Mammalia; Primates; Hominidae. The record is from RNAcentral.
UGGCCUUGACCACAUGACCCAGAGGUGCAGU